Molecule: small RNA, 488 nt
Filed under: Pongo abelii (Sumatran orangutan)
Lineage: Eukaryota; Metazoa; Chordata; Mammalia; Primates; Hominidae
Description: processed transcript
Source: RNAcentral
GGAGACAUUACCUCAUCCCUCAAGAUUGCUCGCCGCAAACAACGCUGAGAAAUGGCCCAAGUAAGGCGUGAUCAGGGUCUUGCAUUCUUGGCACAUCUAGGAAGAACGUGCAAGGAUGCGAAUUGUGAAUCGCUUCUCCAAACAACUCUCCCAGGGAGCUGGUGGAAAAGACUGGGCCUGAGGACCCUGGAGCGAGGAGUCAAUGGAGGAUGCUGAAGGUUGAGAAGGGCACAGUGCGCAGCUACAGUCAUCAGCAAAAGCAGCUUCCAUCCUGGUGGGGAGGGAGCAGCCAGACCAUUCCAGGACAUCGCUCCUUUGAAUGCUGGGUGCCCACGCCCAGAUGGCCUUUCCCUAAAGGAAUGCAAGCCUGUCACCAUGCAGGCCUCCAGAGGAAGCCUUCAUUCAGAGAUGCAAUGUGCAGGGGAAGCUGCACGUCCACAGAGCUGAGGCCCCAGGCAACCCAGAGCAUCCUAAAACCCCGUGGAACU